GGGGUGCAUAUUGUCGAUCUCUGCCCUUUUAUAUUCUGACAAAGUCUAAUUUACCUUCUUUGUCUUCUUUUUGAUCUUUCUGCACUUAUAAAUAGUACCACAGCAUGUUUUUUUUCCAAGUUUCUUGCGUAACCCCUUGGUGGGCAACAAAGCUAGCCAACUAAGCAACCAGAAACAGCAAACACAGGGAAAAAGAAAAGAAGGAAUUUCUUUCUUCUUUAUUCACAUCUUUGCCUCCCUUAUUUGCUCGCUUCUCAUUCUCAGAUUGUCUUUUACUUUGCAAGAAGAAACUAGUAUGGCUCAGGCUGAGAUCUCAGUAGCUAAUGGCAGGCAUGGAGUUGUAUUGGAUGUUAAGGAUGAUAAUCCUUGUAAUCCUGCUCCAGCUGGUAAUAAGCCUCCUCCUUGUGCCUCCAAAACUAAAGAAGAUUCAAUCUCAAGCAUCUCCGUACCUUUCAUUCAAAAGUUGAUAGCUGAGAUGGUUGGCACUUACUUCUUGAUAUUUGCCGGAUGUACAUCGGUGGCGGCGAAUUUGAACUACGACAAGGUGGUGACACUUCCAGGAAUAUCAAUAGUUUGGGGAUUAGCGGUGAUGGUCUUGGUUUACUCUGUUGGUCACAUCUCUGGUGCCCAUUUCAACCCGGCUGUCACUCUUGCCUUUGCCACCUGCAAGAGAUUUCCCUGGAAACAGGUAAAACCAAACUAAAUCUACUUUGUUGAAAAUUGGUUAACUACACUUGCGGGAAACCUUUAGGGGUAAGAAAUUGUUGCAAUAAAAAAAUUGGUUUAUUUUUGUUUAUUGAAAUUUCUCACUUGUUUGUAAUAAGAAUUGUGUUCACAUGUACCCCUCGGCAUUUUCUGAAUGCUAAUUAAGUACAUUUGACCCUCCCCAGAGCUGACAAUGCAGGAUGCAGGAGGCCUGGUCAACUGGAGCACUUGAACUCAUUUGUUUCGAAAUGUUUAUUUGGGAUUAUUAUAGAAUCUACUUUGUGUUACAAAGUGUAAAAGUAAACGGCAUUAUGAGGUUGAAAUCAAUUCAAUCAAGCUGUUGAACUGAGCUCCGGUAGAAGGUUAUGUAUUGAUAUUCUUUUUUCCCCCUUUCCCCUCUUCUUGUUUGGUCAUGUAGGUUCCAGCUUAUAUAGCAUGCCAAGUCACUGGAUCAACACUAGCUGCUGGAACAAUUCGAUUAAUUUUUACUGGGAAGCAAGAUCAAUUCACAGGAACAUUGCCAGCAGGAUCAGAUAUGCAGUCCUUUGUAGUUGAGUUUAUAAUCACAUUCUAUCUCAUGUUUAUCAUAUCAGGUGUCGCUACCGAUAAUCGAGCUGUAAGUUAUUAUUCUUCACCUAAUCAUUGAUUCUAGACUUAGAAUACAAAAACUUAAUAAAGAAUAAUGUGGCUUGCCAAUAGAGUUGGCUAAUCCGUACUCGCUGAUUAAGUUACCAACUUAUUGACCUAUUAUAACUUUUUUAGUGUAUUCCUUAGAAUUUGAAUUAUUUUGAUUGUGAAAAGUGAUUGCUGAUGUUUAUGCAGAUUGGUGAACUUGCUGGACUUGCUGUUGGUGCUACGGUUCUCUUAAAUGUGAUGUUUGCAGGGUAUCCACCUAAUCAAGUUUGCUUAGAAUACGUAAUCAAAUUAAGCAAUAAUCAAUAUUAUCCAAAAUCUAAAUCGUUGACUAGUGAUGAAUUGUUUGCUUGUAUGACAUAUAAGUUAAUUAUUUACUAAUGAAAAUAAAUACCCUUUUGAUGGUUUUGCUGAUAUCAUUUUGCAAAUCAGCGCAAUUUCAGGGGCAUCAAUGAACCCAGCAAGAAGCCUGGGGCCUGCAAUUGUAUCAAGUCAAUACAAGGGGCUAUGGAUUUAUAUUGUGUCGCCAAUACUUGGUGCUCAAGCAGGUGCAUGGGUCUAUAACAUGAUUAGAUAUACAGAUAAGCCUCUGAGAGAGAUCACCAUGAGUGCUUCAUUCCUCAAGAACACAGGACGUGCUUAACAAGAAAAUGAUUUCUCUUACUGGCUCUUUAUUUCAUGUAAUCUAAUACAAGAUAAGACCUUUAAUUCCUGUAUCUGAAGGAUAUUCUGUAAUUUUUCCUGCUCAUCAAUGCAAUAGAAAGAUUUCCAU
This 2110-nucleotide unclassified non-coding RNA is filed under the name Hevea brasiliensis (rubber tree). Lineage: Eukaryota; Viridiplantae; Streptophyta; Magnoliopsida; Malpighiales; Euphorbiaceae. The record is from RNAcentral.